GAUGAACGCUGGCGGCGUGCCUAAUACAUGCAAGUCGAGCGAACAGACGAGGAGCUUGCUCCUCUGACGUUAGCGGCGGACGGGUGAGUAACACGUGGAUAACCUACCUAUAAGACUGGGAUAACUUCGGGAAACCGGGGCUAAUACCGGAUAAUAUAUUGAACCGCAUGGUUCAAUAGUGAAAGACGGUUUUGCUGUCACUUAUAGAUGGAUCCGCGCCGCAUUAGCUAGUUGGUAAGGUAACGGCUUACCAAGGCAACGAUGCGUAGCCGACCUGAGAGGGUGAUCGGCCACACUGGAACUGAGACACGGUCCAGACUCCUACGGGAGGCAGCAGUAGGGAAUCUUCCGCAAUGGGCGAAAGCCUGACGGAGCAACGCCGCGUGAGUGAUGAAGGUCUUCGGAUCGUAAAACUCUGUUAUUAGGGAAGAACAAAUGUGUAAGUAACUAUGCACGUCUUGACGGUACCAAAUCAGAAAGCCACGGCUAACUACGUG
RNAcentral lists this ribosomal RNA (497 nucleotides) under uncultured bacterium. RNAcentral's name for it is "partial 16S ribosomal RNA". It matches the Rfam family "Bacterial small subunit ribosomal RNA", at positions 28 to 507 of the family's 1533-position model. The record is from RNAcentral.